AUUCAGUUGGCCUUCCGCGGCUGCGCUGACCGGUCUCUACCAAAGUUCGGAUCCCAUGAUUGGGCCGGAUCGGUUGCGUGUGGUCGUGGUGUCCGACGCAUUUUUUCCCGUCCUAAGGACGCCGCAGCCGGUUGGGAAUCGACGGCCUGAAAGGUGGACGCCGGCAGGUGGCCGGUGGCGUCGCUUCGGCUUCGCCGCCGGUUGUUAGCCUGUUCGCCUGUGGCUCGUCGCCCGACCGAGGUAUCACGAGGCCCUUUUGGGCUCCUUCCGCCUCCUCCCUUAAAAGGAAGCGGGAUUAUGACUCGGCAGGCGCUCGUAGGUGGUGCAGCCGCACGCUGUAACUGCGUGGGCGGCGCCUUCGCGACGUCGAUGGUCGUAUCGUACCCGUGGGAGUGCUGGCGGCUGGCGGCGAGUAGAUCGGUCACCCACCCGACCCGUCUUGAAACACGGACCAAGGAGUCUAACAUGUGCGCGAGUCAAUGGGUCUUGAACAGGCCCAGAGGCGCAAUGAAAGCAAAGGCCGGCACUGACGCCGGCUGUGUUGGGACCUCUCGGCCUACGAGUCGAGGGAGCACCAACGACCCGUCCUGUCCGAUUUACCUCGGUUGGGCGGAGUUUGAGCGUACACGUUGGGACCCGAAAGAUGGUGAACUAUGCCCGGGCAGGACGAGGCCAGAGGAAACUCUGGUGGAGGUCCGUAGCGGUUCUGACGUGCAAAU
This 719-nucleotide ribosomal RNA is filed under the name Dresserus colsoni. RNAcentral describes it as "eukaryotic LSU rRNA". The stretch from base 276 to 719 matches the Rfam family "Eukaryotic large subunit ribosomal RNA", at positions 1 to 898 of the family's 3401-position model. Lineage: Eukaryota; Metazoa; Arthropoda; Arachnida; Araneae; Eresidae. The record is from RNAcentral.